UUGGAAAAUUUUACUUUCUUUAGCCAUAUUGAGGAGCUCUUCGUGGGAACCUAGCAUUUCCCAGCCGCUUUAGCGAUGGGUCUUGGUCAUUUCUACUGUAGUGAUGUGGGAAAACCCCGGAUCACCACCUGGAUUCUCAGGAUAAGAGACAGGGAAUACGGCCCCUCCUACCCAAUGGGGUGGGGUGAAGAAAGUAAUUUCCGUUGGGAAACUCUUGAAGGGGCGGGACUUCCGGCAUCCUCAUCGUGGCGGGCAAAUUCCUUCAGCCAGAUUCCGCUCAAUUACGUGCUCAGAAGGUCCAGUCAGUUGGGUGCUAGUGGGGAUCCCCGGGCGGGGAAGGCACCAGAGUUCGGUCCACAAAUAUCAUCCGAGAAGAAGAAAGUGGACGACGCUACCCGGGUGGCCUGCGCCAGGGCCGAGACAAGGGUAGCCUUGGCUGGGGUCGGCAUGGCGGGGGCGACCUCUUCUCCCGCCGCUGUGUCCUGGACUGUAGCUCAAAGUACGUUGGCCGCCUCGCUGAGACGCUCGGCUGAGGUUGGUAUGACCUUUGCGGACAUUGCCCUGUACUUCUCCAGGGAAGAAUGGCGUCUCCUCAAUGAAGCUCAGAGACGCCUGUACCUGGAUGUGAUGCUGGAGAACUUUGAGCUUGUAUCUUCACUGGGUUGCUGCUGUGGAACAGAGGAUGUGGAAGAACUGAUGGAAAAAAACAUUUCUGUAAGAGUGGUACAGGCAGAGAAUCUCAAGAUGACUUUGUCUUCCCAGAAGAGCCACCCAUGUGAGAGUUGUGGGCCAGUGCUGAGAUACAUUUUCCACAUGACUAAAGAGCAGGAAGCACACCACAGCCAGAAAUCAUUGCAAUGUGGGGCAUGUGCAAAAAGAUUUUACAUCAGUACAAAGUGUCACCAGCAGCAAGAGCACCAUGUGAGAGAGAAGCCUUUCAGAAGAGAUGGGGACAAGAUCCUACUUGCAGAGGGCUGCAAUGUCAGUGAGUCCCAGAAGCUUUUCACCUGUGGGGAGGUUGGACCAGGCAUCCUUACCGAGUCAGAACAUCUCCAACAAGAGACUACUCACGGCAGGGACAGGCCAAAUGAAAUCUCGCCAUCUGGAGACACUAAUCAAAGCAGAGAAAAUUAUUUCACCCUGAGUGAAUGUAAAAAGGCCAUUGACUGCUGUCGCGUAUAUAUUCAAAAGAAAGGUGUCCAUACUGGAGGACAGUGUUUUCUUUGCCAUGAUGGUGAGAAAAAUGUCUCUAGAAUAUCUAGGUUUUGUUAUUGUCAAAGAGUUCCCAGUGGACAAAAGCCACAUCAGUGCAGUGAAUGUGGGAAAUCUUUUAAAAAAUUGUCUCAACUUCGUUAUCAUCAGACAGUUCACACUGGAGAAAGGCCAUAUCAGUGCAGUGUAUGUGGGAAGUCUUUUAAAAGAAGACGUAGCCUGUAUUUACAUGAGAAAAUUCACACUGGAGAAAGGUCUUAUGAAUGUAGUGAAUGUGGGAAAUCUUUCUCUGAUAGUACUCGCUUCCAUCGUCAUCAGAGAGUUCACACAGGGGAAAGGCCUUAUGUGUGCAGUGAAUGUGGGAAAUCUUUUACCAGACGUGAUAUCCUUCUUUCUCAUCAGAGACUUCACACUGGAGAAAGGCCUUAUGAGUGCAGUGAAUGUGGGAAAUCUUUUUUCCGAAGGAAUUCACUUCGUUCUCAUCAGAGAGUUCACACUGGAGAAAGGCCUUAUGAGUGCAGUGAAUGUGGGAAAUGUUAUAGCAGUAAAGGUAGUCUUCGUUCUCAUCAGAGAUUUCACACAGGAGAAAGACCUUAUGAGUGCACUGAAUGUGGGAAAUCCUUCUUCCGAAAGAAAGCACUUCGUGGUCAUCAGAGACUUCACACUGGAGAAAGGUCUUAUGAAUGUAGUGAAUGUGGGAAAUCUUACCAGAGUAAAAUUGGCCUUUUGUCUCAUAAGAGUCUUCACACUGGGGAAAGGCCUUAUGAGUGCAAUGAAUGUGGGAAAUGUUUCUUCAAAAGGAGUGUACUUCGUUGUCAUCAGAGAGGUCAUACUGGAGAAAGGCCUUAUGAGUGCAAUGAAUGUGGGAAAUCCUUCUUCCAGAAGAGUGCACUUCGUUGUCAUCAGAGACUUCACACUGGAGAAAGGCCAUAUGAAUGCAGUGAGUGUGGGAAAUCUUUCAUCCAAAAGCAUGACUUUCGUUGUCAUCAGAAUAUUCACACAGGAGAAAGGCCUUAUGUGUGCAGCCAAUGUGGCAAAUCUUAUCCCAGUAAAACUGGCCUUCGUUGUCAUCAGAAUAUUCAUACAGGAGAGAGGCCUUAUGAGUGCAGUGAAUGUGGCAAAUCUUACCGCAGUCAAUCUGGCCUUCGUUAUCAUCAGAAUAUUCACACAGGAGAAAAGUCCUAUCAGUGCAGUCAAUGUGGGAAAACUUAUCCCAGUAAAAUUAGCCUGCGUUAUCAUGAGAGAUUUCACACAGGAGAAAAGCCUUAUGAGUGCAGUGAAUGUGGCAAAUCUUAUCGCAGUCACUCUGGCCUUCGUUAUCAUCAGAAUUUUCACACAGGAGAAAAACCUUAUGUGUGCAGUGAAUGUGGAAAGUGUUAUCGCAGAAAAAGUAGCCUGCUCUCUCAUGAGAGAUUUCACAGAGGAGAAAAGCCUUAUGAGUGCAGUGAAUGUGGGAAAUCGUAUCGCAGUAAGAGUAGCUUGCACUCUCAUGAGAGAUUUCACCAAGGACAAAAGCCUUAUUAGUACAAUGAACGUGCAGAAGUCUUAGAUACUAGGACAUGUACAGUGUUUUACUUUCAUGAUAAAAAUAACAGAAUUCCGUGAAGCCUUGCCUGAGCCAUAUUAUACGGCCAAGCAUCAACAGUAAGGAGGUUCCACAUCAUUAAUUUUUAUAUGUGAAGCCUGUGUGUCCAUGUUGCACUUUCUUGAUUUACCCAUGUGGUUUCCCAGAUCCACCUCACUGCAUAUUUCUGUUGAAGCUAUUUCCCGUGUACCAGCUAUAAGGUUCCAAGAGAUUCCAUGAGUCAUCAUCCCUGAUGUGCUCAGAAAAAGUAACUUCCCUGUGAUUUGUUGCAGAAAAUUAGGAGUAGCCUAGCUUUUUAGGUCUUUCUUUGCUCUCUCACUACUUGGUGCAUUGACAUGACUCAAUUUUGGCCCAGAAAACAUCGUCUGAAUUUACAUGUCAGCUUGUAAGAGGACUGCAUUUUUGCAGGACAUUCUUUUUUACAUAACCAGGGAUUAUUUUUGAGUGUCCAAAUCACCAGUGCAGGAACUGCCUAGAUGAUCUUCCUUGGUAAAAUAAUGGAAGACUUUCCCCCAAGUCUUCUUUAAUUUUGGGUGCUCUAUUUUGUGGGGUAAUUUAUAAGCAGUUUUGGGCCCCACAAGCAUCAAGAUGUGAACAGUUUUAUGUGUGUCUCAACUUUCUCUGCCUCUGUGGGGACAGUUUAGUGCAGAAAUGAACUUAGUGAUUUUUGCCAGACUUGCUUUCCUGCUCAUGUGUUCCCAGGCAAGACUGUGGGCUUUGUAGUUCUUAUGAGAAGCUUCAAUGGUGUGAGUUUCAGAAGACAUGGACAUCACUACAAAGAAGGGGUAGGUAUGCCAACCUCGAUAUGUCUGGGAACAGCAUGAAUUUUUUUCUUGUAAAGGAUGGCAAUAUUUUUGCAGGGAUCUCUGGCCCAGACCUUGCAAAGGGCCAUGUGCUCUAAUGUCUGCAGUUUCAUGGGGGAUGGGCAAGUGGUAACACCAUAGAGGUGAGGGAAACUGAUUGCAAGAGAAACACUGUUAUGACAGGUGCUGGAGGAGACUAAGGCAACUAGACAGAAUGUGCAUUUUCUCAGCAUGCAUCCAGAAACGUUUCUGA
This is an RNA transcript of Phyllostomus discolor (pale spear-nosed bat), 3853 nucleotides long. It is a transcript of the gene named zinc finger protein 530-like, with no coding region annotated. The transcript is spliced from 4 exons. The record is from RefSeq and is a predicted model, not a curated record. NCBI's taxonomy places the organism in Eukaryota, Metazoa, Chordata, Mammalia, Chiroptera, Phyllostomidae.